AUUGAACGCUGGCGGCAGGCCUAACACGUGCAAGUCGAGCGGAUGAAGGGAGCUUGCUCCUGGAUUCAGCGGCGGACGGGUGAGUAAUGCCUAGGAAUCUGCCUGGUAGUGGGGGAUAACGUCCGGAAACGGGCGCUAAUACCGCAUACGUCCUGAGGGAGAAAGUGGGGGAUCUUCGGACCUCACGCUAUCAGAUGAGCCUAGGUCGGAUUAGCUAGUUGGUGGGGUAAAGGCCUACCAAGGCGACGAUCCGUAACUGGUCUGAGAGGAUGAUCAGUCACACUGGAACUGAGACACGGUCCAGACUCCUACGGGAGGCAGCAGUGGGGAAUAUUGGACAAUGGGCGAAAGCCUGAUCCAGCCAUGCCGCGUGUGUGAAGAAGGUCUUCGGAUUGUAAAGCACUUUAAGUUGGGAGGAAGGGCAGUAAGUUAACACCUUGCUGUUUUGACGUUACCAACAGAAUAAGCACCGGCUAACUUCGUG
This 484-nucleotide ribosomal RNA is filed under the name uncultured bacterium. RNAcentral's name for it is "partial 16S ribosomal RNA". It matches the Rfam family "Bacterial small subunit ribosomal RNA", at positions 30 to 507 of the family's 1533-position model. The record is from RNAcentral.